RNAcentral lists this ribosomal RNA (460 nucleotides) under uncultured bacterium. RNAcentral's name for it is "partial 16S ribosomal RNA". It matches the Rfam family "Bacterial small subunit ribosomal RNA", at positions 338 to 795 of the family's 1533-position model. The record is from RNAcentral.
CCUACGGGAGGCAGCAGUGAGGAAUAUUGGUCAAUGGACGAGAGUCUGAACCAGCCAAGUAGCGUGAAGGAUGACUGCCCUAUGGGUUGUACACUUCUUUUAUAAAGGAAUAAAACGAGGCACGUGUUCCUUUUUGCAUGUACUUUAUGAAUAAGGAUCGGCUAACUCCGUGCCAGCAGCCGCGGUAAUACGGAGGAUCCGAGCGUUAUCCGGAUUUAUUGGGUUUAAAGGGAGCGUAGAUGGGUUGUUAAGUCAGUUGUGAAAGUUUGCGGCUCAACCGUAAAAUUGCAAUUGAUACUGGCAGUCUUGAGUACAGUUGAGGUAAGCGGAAUUCGUGGUGUAGCGGUGAAAUGCUUAGAUAUCACGAAGAACCCCGAUUGCGAAGGCAGCUUACUAAACUGUGACGGACAGUGAUGCUCGAAAGUGUGGGUAUCAAACAGGAUUAGAUACCCCAGUAGUC